GCGGGUGUAGUUCAGUGGUAGAACGUCUCGUUGCCAACGAGAAGGUCAUGGGUUCAAGUCCCAUCACCCGCU
The sequence is a transfer RNA, 72 nucleotides long. It matches the Rfam family "tRNA". From Rfam's summary of the family: Transfer RNA (tRNA) molecules are approximately 80 nucleotides in length. Their secondary structure includes four short double-helical elements and three loops (D, anti-codon, and T loops). Further hydrogen bonds mediate the characteristic L-shaped molecular structure. tRNAs have two regions of fundamental functional importance: the anti-codon, which is responsible for specific mRNA codon recognition, and the 3' end, to which the tRNAs corresponding amino acid is attached (by aminoacyl-tRNA synthetases). tRNAs cope with the degeneracy of the genetic code in two manners: having more than one tRNA (with a specific anti-codon) for a particular amino acid; and 'wobble' base-pairing, i.e. permitting non-standard base-pairing at the 3rd anti-codon position. The record is from Rfam.